RNAcentral lists this ribosomal RNA (481 nucleotides) under uncultured bacterium. Its description in RNAcentral is "partial 16S ribosomal RNA". It matches the Rfam family "Bacterial small subunit ribosomal RNA", at positions 28 to 507 of the family's 1533-position model. The record is from RNAcentral.
GACGAACGCUGGCGGCGUGCUUAACACAUGCAAGUCGAACGGGAUCCGGGCUUUCGGGUUUGGUGAGAGUGGCAAACGGGUGAGUAACACGUGAGUAACCUGCCCCCUUCUUUGGGAUAACGUCGGGAAAUCGGCGCUAAUACUGGAUAUUCUUGCUGCAUCGCAUGGUGUGGUUUGGAAAGGGUUUCUGGUGGGGGAUGGGCUCGCGGCCUAUCAGCUUGUUGGUGGGGUGAUGGCCUACCAAGGCUUUGACGGGUAGCCGGCCUGAGAGGGUGUCCGGCCACACUGGGACUGAGACACGGCCCAGACUCCUACGGGAGGCAGCAGUAGGGAAUAUUGCACAAUGGGCGCAAGCCUGAUGCAGCGACGCCGCGUGAGGGAUGACGGCCUUCGGGUUGUAAACCUCUUUCAGUAUGGAACAAGGAUCCUUCUUUUGGGGGGUUUGAGGGUACGUGCAGAAGAAGCGCCGGCUAACUACGUG